This 105-nucleotide ribosomal RNA is filed under the name Barrientosiimonas sp. KK22. RNAcentral describes it as "partial 16S ribosomal RNA". The record is from RNAcentral. Lineage: Bacteria; Bacillati; Actinomycetota; Actinomycetes; Micrococcales; Dermacoccaceae.
GGAUUAGUGGCGAACGGGUGAGUAACACGUGAGUAACCUGCCCUUCACUCUGGGAUAACCCUGGGAAACUGGGUCUAAUACUGGAUAUGACGGCGCACUGCAUGG